Molecule: long non-coding RNA, 777 nt
Organism: Sebastes umbrosus (honeycomb rockfish)
Lineage: Eukaryota; Metazoa; Chordata; Actinopteri; Perciformes; Sebastidae
Exons: 4
Source: RefSeq, a predicted model, not a curated record
GCGGGAGAGGGAUAGAGUGGGUCUGCCGACGAAUCAGCUUCCAGGAUUUCCAUUUUCUCUCGACAAAUCAUGUGGCGGCUUUCCAUUUUCAAUGCCGACGUCAUCCAUUUUCACCGCGGAUACAGCCAAUCGGAGCUCUGGAUUCCAUUUUCAGGCAACGAAUCGUGUGGCUGAUCUCCGUCACGUCAUCCAUUUUUGAAUAGCCAAUCACAGCCGUCCCAGCGGACGCGAUGCGGAGGAGGGAUUUUUAAACUAUUCACCGCCGUCGUCGCAGAAACGCCUAUUCAGUUAAAGACAGACUUCUCCAGGCUGUCAGUCAUCCUGUAUCCUCUGCCCCAGAAGCUCAGCCUGCAGUUCAGUCUGAAUCCUCACCUGGUGUCUCAGGUGGCAGAAAUACAGUUGGGGACGGGCAUGGUAUGCCAGGUAUGGAUCGGGUUGACAGCCUUGCAGAGCACCUGGUAGAACUGUGGACAUAGACCUCCAUGACUCUCAGCAACCAGCAGGGAAGCACAAUUGUGGCCCUGUAGCAAAACCUGCUGGACGUUGACAGAGGGCCCAGCAAUCUACAGUGGGCUGGUCACUGCCGGAGGCCCCGCUGGAGUCUGAGCUGAAGGAGUUUCUGGUGAAUCUGUGUGCUGUAAAUCAUUCUGUCUGAUGUUGCAGGGAAUCAGACCCAAUGACAAACAUUAAGAAUAGUAUUAUCUUCUUCAAAUUAUUUGUUCUUGUUGUUUCACGUGUUCCAGGCCCAAAGACAAUAAAGUUAAAGCUUUAAUAUCA